This 74-nucleotide transfer RNA is filed under the name archaeon. Its description in RNAcentral is "tRNA-Ile". It matches the Rfam family "tRNA". Rfam says of the family: Transfer RNA (tRNA) molecules are approximately 80 nucleotides in length. Their secondary structure includes four short double-helical elements and three loops (D, anti-codon, and T loops). The record is from RNAcentral.
GGGCUCGUAGCUCAGGCGGUUAGAGCAACGGUCUUAUAAGCCGUAGGUCGCAGGUUCAAGUCCUGCCGAGCCCA